GAGCCCAGCGAGGACGUGGAUUCCCCACGGCCCUUCCCACAUACCCCGUUCUUUCAUUUGGCUGUUUCUGAGUUGUGUGCUUUAUAAUCAACUGACAAUGAUAGGUAGAAGCAGUGGCAGGUCUGAGAAUCAAAAUGGGUCAUUCAUUGACUAGUUAGAACUGGAAGGUUUAUUACAAAACUUAAAGAGGUCCUAUGUCCCUUCCUCUUAAAUUUGGGCAGAAUUUGUGACUUCUUUGUCCAACAAAAUAUCGCAGAAGUGAUGCUGUACCAGACUGAAAAAGAGUGGCAGUUUCUAGCUGUGGUAUCUUGGAUCCAAAGAAUCAAUGACCCCAUACAACAGACCCAGUAGAGUUCCCAGGAAACAGCCAGCACCAGCCAUGUUGGUAAGAUAUCUUGAAAAUAGAUACUUCAGCCCACUUGAGCCACCACAGCUCACACCACCUGGAGCACAGUCAAGCCUUUUCUGCUGAGCCCUGCCCAAACUGCAGAUUUGUGAACCAAAUAAAUAAUUGCAAUUGUUUUAAGCCAAUAA
Long non-coding RNA from Homo sapiens (human), 534 nucleotides. Ensembl annotates it as MACROD2 antisense RNA 1. Its record names the gene MACROD2-AS1. The record is from Ensembl. NCBI's taxonomy places the organism in Eukaryota, Metazoa, Chordata, Mammalia, Primates, Hominidae.